UUGCUUUACAGCGGUAGCCUGGAACCUAACCUCAUAUAUACGUGGGGCUCUCUGGUACUUGACAGUGUGAAUGUCUAUCCAAACCAUAACUCCUCCAUGUAUGCUUUGAAACUCAAAUUUUGAGUUUUUGCUCUUGUUGAAAAAUUACUUGACUGUAUAAUGUUAAUUAUAGAUGUUGUAGUUUGUAAGAUUUCAUAUUUUUUUCAGACAAGUUCGUACACGAGUGUAUGGAAGGCAACAGAGAAACGAGGCAUCUUCAUUUUUCUCGGUAACUGUUGCACUUUCCACAGUGUCAAGCAGCCAGCCAGCCAGCCACCUUUCAGGGGUAUUUGUCAAGGUUGGGAAGAGAGUUGAAGUUGUAAGGAACAGCACCUGGUACGAGGCCGUUAAAAAAUGUAGUACACACAGACAGCGGCCCUGACUGGGAAUCUGCUGGCAGUCAUUGAUGUCACAGCGAAAGGACAUUAAUAUAAAGUUGGCAAAGAUUGGAGACAAGAUUUGUACUACUCAAUGCAAUGUCAUCAUCGUAAGGUAUACACAACUUGUUGAAUGUGUAUAUAUAUAUGACUGGCAGGUGGAAAGAGUGUUUUUAUAAAUAGUGUCAUGAAAAGUUAAGUGAUUAUUCUGCAACUCAUAAUGUAUGUUUGAAGAUGCCAGUGUCUGCCAUCUUAAAACGUGUGAAGGAAAGAACAUGAGCGUACUCACGUAGGUUAGUUUUACCGUUCAUGUUGCAGUUGUACUAGUAAUAAACACUGCUUGAGUAAGAGAAGCGAGAAGCAAUGCUGGAGGAAAUGUACUCGAGUCCUAAAAUCCAGGAUUAAGAGUACUGUAGUUGUAUGAUUCUGGACUAAUAAUAUUGAGUCUUAGGACCCAGGAGUAAUACUAGUUGAAUAGUAGAUCCCAGAACUCAGAGGGGAAAACAUUUUCAUAAAUAGUUUAUUAAGUGAAUAUAAAUAAUUUAGUCUUUUAAUCCUAAGAUAGAUAGAAGUGAAACAAACAACAGAAUAAGAUAAGGUUUGUAUUUCAUCCUGUGAGACCUUGGUUAUACCUCUUAUUCCCAGGCUGUGUAAGAGUAUAGGUUUUAGGUUUC
Cherax quadricarinatus is the source of this 1090-nucleotide non-coding RNA. NCBI's taxonomy places the organism in Eukaryota, Metazoa, Arthropoda, Malacostraca, Decapoda, Parastacidae. The record is from RefSeq and is a predicted model, not a curated record.